This 270-nucleotide small nuclear RNA is filed under the name Ovis aries (sheep). Its description in RNAcentral is "7SK RNA". It matches the Rfam family "7SK RNA". Rfam says of the family: 7SK was discovered as an abundant small nuclear RNA in the mid-70s but a possible function has only recently been suggested. Two independent studies have found that 7SK RNA binds the CDK9/cyclin T complex (known as elongation factor P-TEFb). P-TEFb activates transcription by phosphorylating the C-terminal domain of RNA polymerase II. Lineage: Eukaryota; Metazoa; Chordata; Mammalia; Artiodactyla; Bovidae. The record is from Rfam by way of RNAcentral.
GAACUGAUCUGGUUGCGCCAUCUGUCACCCCACUGACCGCCAGGGUGGAUUCGGCUGAUCCGCUGGCCAAGCGCUGUCCCUUUCUUCCCUCAUGGCUCCCUGUGCGAUUGAAGAGGACACCCACCCCCAGUGGAGGAGGACCGGUCUUCCGUCAAGGGCAUACGAGUACCUGCGCUCCCCUGCUAGAACCUCCGAACAAACUCAAGGGGGCCGUGAUUUACCUGAAGGGUUCCAAGGCCCACGUCCUCAUGCACCAACUGGGCGUCCUGA